UCCUCCUGCAAAACCAUGUCUUACGCUGCUGUCUUUGUACAUGUAAGAAUUGAAGUCAAAAAAAUAAAAUUGUAAAUUUGGAGAUAUCAGGGGCCAGGUUGCUCUCCACAGGCUCAAAAUCAACUAUCUUACAUAA
This is a small nucleolar RNA of Cavia porcellus (domestic guinea pig), 136 nucleotides long. Ensembl annotates it as small nucleolar RNA SNORA38. The record is from Ensembl. Lineage: Eukaryota; Metazoa; Chordata; Mammalia; Rodentia; Caviidae.